RNAcentral lists this long non-coding RNA (279 nucleotides) under Elaeis guineensis (African oil palm). RNAcentral describes it as "long non-coding RNA (EGUI_LNC017495)". Lineage: Eukaryota; Viridiplantae; Streptophyta; Magnoliopsida; Arecales; Arecaceae. The record is from RNAcentral.
CUUCCCUUUCCUUUCCGUACCAGUGUGCAUGAUCGCUGGCGAUCGGUGCCGUCGGAUUUUGUUGGGAAAAUAGUCUCCUGUUCUGCUCCUCUUUUUUGGCUUUUCUGCAUCGGUGGUCACAGCUGACCACUGGUUUGGUCCCUCUAGGCCAUGGGAUCGUCAUCUCCUUGCCUUCGGCCACCGCCGUGCCGGCUACGACCCUUGAUCGACCGACCAAAGGAGGGACCGCGUGGUCCCCUGUUUUUGCCCAAGUGAGCCACGAGAAGAAGGAAGAAAAGA